UGAUCAGCAUGCGCGUGAGUGAGAAGGCCUUCGGGUUGUAAACCUCUUUUGUCUGGGAAGAUAAUGACGGCUCCAGCAAGAAUAAGCCCCGGCUAAUUUCUCUGCCGCCAGCCGCCGCUAUACGACGGGGGAUACCGUUGUUCUCAAUAUACUGGUGCGUAGAGCGCACGCCGGCGGAGGCCUUUUCUCAUGUGUGAAAUCCCAGCGGCUCAUCCCCGUUAACUGCCCUUUGUACUCUGAAUCUCUAGUCCGCGAGAGGUGAAUAGAAUUCCCCCUGUGUAGGUGAAAUUCGCAUAUAUUUGGAAGAACACCACUGGGGAAAGCGGCCUCUUGUGCCCCUGCUGACACUCAGGUGCAAAAACGUGAGGAGCGCACAGGAUAAUAUACCCCGCUGUUCCCCUCCCCAUACUCUAUGGGCUCUCCGUGUUGCACCUAGCUACCCGUGGGCUGCCCUAACUCAUUCAUCAAUCGUCCCGCCGGGUACGGACGCUCGAUUAAGUCUCACUCAAUGUGACUGGGACGGGA
RNAcentral lists this ribosomal RNA (525 nucleotides) under uncultured Alphaproteobacteria bacterium. RNAcentral's name for it is "bacterial SSU rRNA". It matches the Rfam family "Bacterial small subunit ribosomal RNA", at positions 384 to 924 of the family's 1533-position model. Lineage: Bacteria; Pseudomonadati; Pseudomonadota; Alphaproteobacteria. The record is from RNAcentral.